RNAcentral lists this ribosomal RNA (917 nucleotides) under Bacillus senegalensis. RNAcentral's name for it is "bacterial SSU rRNA". It matches the Rfam family "Bacterial small subunit ribosomal RNA", at positions 53 to 953 of the family's 1533-position model. The record is from RNAcentral. Lineage: Bacteria; Bacillati; Bacillota; Bacilli; Caryophanales; Bacillaceae.
ACAUGCAGUCGAGCGAAUCUUUGGGAGCUUGCUCCCAUUGGUGAGCGGCGGACGGGUGAGUAACACGUGGGCAACCUGCCUGUAAGACUGGGAUAACACCGGGAAACCGGUGCUAAUACCGGAUAAUCCAUUUCCUCUCAUGAGGAAAUGCUGAAAGACGGUUUCGGCUGUCACUUACAGAUGGGCCCGCGGCGCAUUAGCUAGUUGGUGAGGUAACGGCUCACCAAGGCGACGAUGCGUAGCCGACCUGAGAGGGUGAUCGGCCACACUGGGACUGAGACACGGCCCAGACUCCUACGGGAGGCAGCAGUAGGGAAUCUUCCACAAUGGACGAAAGUCUGAUGGAGCAACGCCGCGUGAGCGAUGAAGGCCUUCGGGUCGUAAAGCUCUGUUGUUAGGGAAGAACAAGUACCGGAGUAACUGCCGGUACCUUGACGGUACCUAACCAGAAAGCCACGGCUAACUACGUGCCAGCAGCCGCGGUAAUACGUAGGUGGCAAGCGUUGUCCGGAAUUAUUGGGCGUAAAGCGCGCGCAGGCGGUCCUUUAAGUCUGAUGUGAAAGCCCACGGCUCAACCGUGGAGGGUCAUUGGAAACUGGGGGACUUGAGUGCAGAAGAGGAAAGCGGAAUUCCACGUGUAGCGGUGAAAUGCGUAGAGAUGUGGAGGAACACCAGUGGCGAAGGCGGCUUUCUGGUCUGUAACUGACGCUGAGGCGCGAAAGCGUGGGGAGCAAACAGGAUUAGAUACCCUGGUAGUCCACGCCGUAAACGAUGAGUGCUAAGUGUUAGGGGGUUUCCGCCCCUUAGUGCUGCAGCUAACGCAUUAAGCACUCCGCCUGGGGAGUACGGCCGCAAGGCUGAAACUCAAAGGAAUUGACGGGGGCCCGCACAAGCGGGGGAGCAUGUGGUUUAAUUCG